GCCUGGCUAGCUCAGUCGGUAGAACAUGAGACUUAAUCUCAGAGUCGUGAGUUAGAGCCCCACGUUAGGCA
This 71-nucleotide transfer RNA is filed under the name Oreochromis niloticus (Nile tilapia). It matches the Rfam family "tRNA". Rfam says of the family: Transfer RNA (tRNA) molecules are approximately 80 nucleotides in length. Their secondary structure includes four short double-helical elements and three loops (D, anti-codon, and T loops). The record is from Rfam by way of RNAcentral. Lineage: Eukaryota; Metazoa; Chordata; Actinopteri; Cichliformes; Cichlidae.